AAGCAAUGAGCAUCCAGUGAUGGUGUAGGAGGCUAGAAGGAAAACGGUGUUUGGGAGGAAGAGCAUAAAAGUUGGAUAUAUUUUUUCCUUCUUUAUCUCGUCUCUUUGGUUAUUGACAGUGUUCAUGCUUCUCGUUUGUCAUUGAUAACAUACCGCGUUUUUUUAUCGAAUACUUCACAAUCUUGAUUUCAGCGACUGCACGCCCCCCAUAUCCAUCGUGUGAUCGUCAAGGCAGGGAACCCAUGGCGCAUUCGGUGGAGACGUUCCAGACCCACCUCACCUCUGUCAUGGACAGUUUGAUCCGAGCGUCGGUGUGCGAGAUCACCAAACUGUUCCAGGACACGGUGAACGACUAUCUGGUGGAAAUAUCUCUGAACAGGAAGGAAAUGGAGGCUCUGAAACUCCGACUCCGACUUACGGAGAACCAACUGAGGAAUGAACGCAAGUACGGGAUGGGGUGGGCAGAGAAUCGCCGCAAUGCUGGUUUGAUACUGCCUGAGGACGGUGGGCGGAAAAAGCGGAAAAUUGAAGUGCCCCAAGCAAAGCAGAAGCUGGGCCUUGCCUUUGGAGGCGCGUGGGAGGAAGGAGGAGCACCAGCUGGGGUGGUAGCGGGGGGAGGCUGGAAGGAGGCACGCGAGAAGUACCUCAUCCACUUCCCUGGGGAGGAAGAGGAACAAGGAGAUCUAUUGGAGGAGGAUGAGGAGGAGGGCUGUGUUUCAAGAGAGGGGGAGGAAGCGGCCAACAUCAAAGAGGAGGUGAGCGAGACGAGGAGCCAGAAUGUGGUGCACACAGUGUCAGAGCAUCAAGGAGAAGUAGUUCAUAAGAACAACAGGGUGGUGCGUGUGUCCUACCAAGGAGGACUGUGUUUAUUUACAGUUUCUACAUCCAAUGUAUUUGUUUUUGAUGAAUUACUCUCUGC
Esox lucius (northern pike) is the source of this 919-nucleotide long non-coding RNA. Lineage: Eukaryota; Metazoa; Chordata; Actinopteri; Esociformes; Esocidae. The record is from Ensembl.